This 425-nucleotide ribosomal RNA is filed under the name uncultured bacterium. RNAcentral's name for it is "partial 16S ribosomal RNA". It matches the Rfam family "Bacterial small subunit ribosomal RNA", at positions 354 to 796 of the family's 1533-position model. The record is from RNAcentral.
GUGGGGAAUCUUGCGCAAUGGGCGAAAGCCUGACGCAGCCAUGUCGCGUGAAUGAUGAAGGUCUUAGGAUUGUAAAAUUCUUUCACCGGGGACGAUAAUGACGGUACCCGGAGAAGAAGCUCCGGCUAACUUCGUGCCAGCAGCCGCGGUAAUACGAAGGGGGCUAGCGUUGCUCGGAAUUACUGGGCGUAAAGGGCGCGUAGGCGGACAGCUUAGUCAGAGGUGAAAGCCCAGGGCUCAACCUUGGAAUUGCCUUUGAUACUGGCUGUCUUGAGUUUGGGAGAGGUGAGUGGAACUCCGAGUGUAGAGGUGAAAUUCGUAGAUAUUCGGAAGAACACCAGUGGCGAAGGCGACUCACUGGCCCAAUACUGACGCUGAGGCGCGAAAGCGUGGGGAGCAAACAGGAUUAGAAACCCCAGUAGUCC